Molecule: transfer RNA, 19 nt
Filed under: Conocephalus emeiensis
Lineage: Eukaryota; Metazoa; Arthropoda; Insecta; Orthoptera; Tettigoniidae
Description: partial tRNA-Met
Source: RNAcentral
AAAAAGGUAAGCUAAAUUU